CUUAAUACUGCCUUGUAUUGUGACUGUCUUUUCAAAAACAGAGAGAUGUGUCCCAAAGACCUUGUUAAAACACCAAAGGUGUUGAAUCUACUAUUCCUUUUGACCAGGCACGGUGGAAAUUUCCAUUUACCAGCUGAAGUAUUACCACCAUGAGGAGAGGUUCUGGUCUUGCCUGGUCUCUCUCCAGAGAGACGAAAAGAGAAGAGCUGGUUCAGAAGAAACCUCAGUGCAACGGCUCAGACUAUUUCCAUAUCAACAAAAGACAACAUUUAUAAUUACUGAAAGCUUGUCAAAGAGUUUUCUCAAACAUUGUUCCAUUGUGUCUUCACAGCACUGAAGAUCCUUAUCCAACUUGCUAGUGAUGAGAAAGCUGAAGCACUACUUUCCUAAAUUCACUCUUUUCUUCAGAAGACUUGGAAUUAAACCUGAAAGUCCUAA
RNAcentral lists this long non-coding RNA (438 nucleotides) under Equus caballus (horse). Its description in RNAcentral is "lncRNA (ENSECAG00000042003.2)". Lineage: Eukaryota; Metazoa; Chordata; Mammalia; Perissodactyla; Equidae. The record is from RNAcentral.